RNAcentral lists this ribosomal RNA (440 nucleotides) under uncultured bacterium. RNAcentral describes it as "partial 16S ribosomal RNA". It matches the Rfam family "Bacterial small subunit ribosomal RNA", at positions 338 to 795 of the family's 1533-position model. The record is from RNAcentral.
CCUACGGGAGGCAGCAGUAGGGAAUAUUGCUCAAUGGGGGAAACCCUGAAGCAGCAACGCCGCGUGGAGGAUGAAGGUUUUCGGAUUGUAAACUCCUUUUGUUAGAGAAGAUAAUGACGGUAUCUAACGAAUAAGCACCGGCUAACUCCGUGCCAGCAGCCGCGGUAAUACGGAGGGUGCAAGCGUUACUCGGAAUCACUGGGCGUAAAGAGCGCGUAGGCGGGAUAGCAAGUCAGAUGUGAAAUCCUAGGGCUUAACCAUAGAACUGCAUUUGAAACUGUUAUUCUAGAGUAUGGGAGAGGUAGGUGGAAUUCUUGGUGUAGGGGUAAAAUCCGUAGAGAUCAAGAGGAAUACUCAUUGCGAAGGCGACCUGCUAGAACAUAACUGACGCUGAGGCGCGAAAGCGUGGGGAGCAAACAGGAUUAGAUACCCCUGUAGUC